GAAGUGGUUUCUAACUAAAAGAGAGGAAAUUUAGACUGGAUAUAAAGAAGAUUGUUUUGUGUUUUUUUUAAUAGUAAAGUUGGUGAGGCUUAGGAGCCGAUUAUCUGGAAGACGGUGGAUGCUUCAACCCUGGAGACAUUCAAGCUGUUUGCAGUGCACCCUAGUGCAGCCAAGUCUUCUUGAUUAGUAUAUCUGAAAACUGAGUUCUGAGUUGGUGUGGGUACACAAGUUCUAGUAGGGGAAAAUCAGUGAUGAAACAUAGGAUGAUAUUGCAGCCAGCUGAAUGGAUCUACUUCUUGUCUCUGUUUUUAUCUUGGUCUUAGGAAUGACAUAUUUUAUGAAGGUGGGUUUUAAUUAUUAUUUAUAUGUCUCUUUUCUAUAAAUAUUAUUUCUCUCUUACUCAUACUGUAUUAUUUCUCUCAUUUUAGGAGUUUAGGUAGAUCUACAAGAAAACUUUGUAUGCAACAGUAUUUUCAAAAGGAUUCAUCUGUUGUUUUUCCUUGUCCCAACCAAAUAACAGUAAAACAUUCACUUACAAAUGAAUAAGGUGCUUUCUGGACACACACAUGUCUACUGAAAUGCACUUGACAACCAAGUAUUUGCUACAUGAGA
Tympanuchus pallidicinctus (lesser prairie-chicken) is the source of this 612-nucleotide long non-coding RNA. RefSeq lists it as uncharacterized. NCBI's taxonomy places the organism in Eukaryota, Metazoa, Chordata, Aves, Galliformes, Phasianidae. The transcript is spliced from 3 exons. The record is from RefSeq and is a predicted model, not a curated record.